GCAGUGGUGGUUCAGUGGUAGAAUUCUCACCUUCCAUACAGGAAACUUGGGUUCAAUUCCCAGCCAAUGCA
RNAcentral lists this transfer RNA (71 nucleotides) under Loxodonta africana (African savanna elephant). It matches the Rfam family "tRNA". From Rfam's summary of the family: Transfer RNA (tRNA) molecules are approximately 80 nucleotides in length. Lineage: Eukaryota; Metazoa; Chordata; Mammalia; Proboscidea; Elephantidae. The record is from Rfam by way of RNAcentral.